AAGACCUUGCGCUUUUGGAGCGGCCGAUGCCUGAUUAGCUUGUUGGUAAGGUAAAAGCUUACCAAGGCUUCGAUCAGUAGCUGGUCUGAGAGGACGGCCAGCCACACUGGGACUGAGACACGGCCCAGACUCCUACGGGAGGCAGCAGUGGGGAAUUUUGGACAAUGGGCGCAAGCCUGAUCCAGCCAUGCCGCGUGAGUGAAGAAGGCCUUCGGGUUGUAAAGCUCUUUCAGCCGGGAAGAAAAGGUUGCGAUUAAUAAUCGCAAUUUAUGACGGUACCGGAAGAAGAAGCACCGGCUAACUACGUGCCAGCAGCCGCGGUAAUACGUAGGGUGCGAGCGUUAAUCGGAAUUACUGGGCGUAAAGCGUGCGCAGGUGGUUUUGUAAGUCAGAUGUGAAAUCCCCGGGCUUAACCUGGGAACU
This 423-nucleotide ribosomal RNA is filed under the name uncultured bacterium. RNAcentral's name for it is "bacterial SSU rRNA". It matches the Rfam family "Bacterial small subunit ribosomal RNA", at positions 207 to 622 of the family's 1533-position model. The record is from RNAcentral.